This 32-nucleotide non-coding RNA is filed under the name Geobacter sulfurreducens KN400. The record is from RNAcentral. Lineage: Bacteria; Pseudomonadati; Thermodesulfobacteriota; Desulfuromonadia; Geobacterales; Geobacteraceae.
GCCCACCCCACCCAUGAUCCCGGUCUGUGUUG